UUAUUAUUGUAUAUAUAAUUCAUAUAUUUAUAUAUUUAUAAUAUUUACUUAUUAUUUAUUUUUUUUAUAUAUUGAGUAUUUCUCUUUUUUAUACUUUAUAUUUAGUUAAUGUCUACAUUUUUUAUUUUAAGAUAGAUGUUUAAAUCUUUACGUAUUUUUCUAUUUUUAAUGUAAAACGGCAAUGUUUAAUAGAAGAACUUGGACAAAUAGUCAAACAUAUUUAUGUUUAAUGUAGUAUUUCCAUUUUUAUGUUGUAUGUUUUACUUAUAUUUAUUAUUUUAGAAAUUAUAUAUAAUGUUUUUUGUUUUUUUUUUAUAAAACGGUAAUGUUACAUUAUGGAGAUAAGCCAUCUUUUUUUUUAAGUGAAAAAUAGUAAUCUUACAUAUGUUUAAUGUAGUUUUUCCAUUUUUUAAUGCUGUAUGUUUACAUAUAUUUUACAAUUUUCGAAAAUAAUUAAGAUUAAAAUGUAAAACUAUAUUUUAUGCCACGUGUCAUCUUUCGGGAUAAAUUUUUUCCGCUGAUGUGGACGUCCUAUGGAGCCUCAAAAGCUCCAUUUUAUUAGUAUAGAUUAAUUAUUUAUUUAUUAAAAUUAAAAAACGGAACGACAUGAAAAUGUAAUUUUUUCAAAAAGCAAUGGCAGAAUCCCAAAAAAGAUCUUAG
RNAcentral lists this long non-coding RNA (660 nucleotides) under Brassica rapa (field mustard). RNAcentral describes it as "long non-coding RNA (BRAP_LNC007157)". The record is from RNAcentral. Lineage: Eukaryota; Viridiplantae; Streptophyta; Magnoliopsida; Brassicales; Brassicaceae.